GUUUGAUCCUGGCUCAGGACGAACGCUGGCGGCGUGCCUAAUACUGCAAGUCGAGCGGACAGAUGGGAGCUUGCUCCCUGAUGUUAGCGGCGGACGGGUGAGUAACACGUGGGUAACCUGCCUGUAAGACUGGGAUAACUCCGGGAAACCGGGGCUAAUACCGGAUGCUUGUUUGAACCGCAUGGUUCAAACAUAAAAGGUGGCUUCGGCUACCACUUACAGAUGGACCCGCGGCGCAUUAGCUAGUUGGUGAGGUAACGGCUCACCAAGGCAACGAUGCGUAGCCGACCUGAGAGGGUGAUCGGCCACACUGGGACUGAGACACGGCCCAGACUCCUACGGGAGGCAGCAGUAGGGAAUCUUCCGCAAUGGACGAAAGUCUGACGGAGCAACGCCGCGUGAGUGAUGAAGGUUUUCGGAUCGUAAAGCUCUGUUGUUAGGGAAGAACAAGUACCGUUCGAAUAGGGCGGUACCUUGACGGUACCUAACCAGAAAGCCACGGCUAACUACGUGCCAGCAGCCGCGGUAAUACGUAGGUGGCAAGCGUUGUCCGGAAUUAUUGGGCGUAAAGGGCUCGCAGGCGGUUCCUUAAGUCUGAUGUGAAAGCCCCCGGCUCAACCGGGGAGGGUCAUUGGAAACUGGGGAACUUGAGUGCAGAAGAGGAGAGUGGAAUUCCACGUGUAGCGGUGAAAUGCGUAGAGAUGUGGAGGAACACCAGUGGCGAAGGCGACUCUCUGGUCUGUAACGACG
RNAcentral lists this ribosomal RNA (750 nucleotides) under Bacillus mojavensis. RNAcentral describes it as "bacterial SSU rRNA". It matches the Rfam family "Bacterial small subunit ribosomal RNA", at positions 11 to 745 of the family's 1533-position model. The record is from RNAcentral. Lineage: Bacteria; Bacillati; Bacillota; Bacilli; Caryophanales; Bacillaceae.